AUUGAACGCUGGCGGCAUGCUUUACACAUGCAAGUCGAACGGCAGCGCGGGCUUCGGCCUGGCGGCGAGUGGCGAACGGGUGAGUAAUUCAUCGGAACGUGCCCAGUAGUGGGGGAUAGCCCGGCGAAAGCCGGAUUAAUACCGCAUACGACCUGAGGGUGAAAGCGGGGGACCGAAAGGCCUCGCGCCAUUGGAGCGGCCGAUGUCGGAUUAGCUAGUUGGUGGGGUAAAGGCUUACCAAGGCGACGAUCCGUAGCUGGUCUGAGAGGACGACCAGCCACACUGGGACUGAGACACGGCCCAGACUCCUACGGGAGGCAGCAGUGGGGAAUUUUGGACAAAGGGGGCAACCCUGAUCCAGCCAUGCCGCGUGCGGGAAGAAGGCCUUCGGGUUGUAAACCGCUUUUGUUCGGGAAGAAAUCCUCUGGGCUAAUACCCCGGGGGGAUGACGGUACCGGAAGAAUAAGCACCGGCUAACUACGUG
This 484-nucleotide ribosomal RNA is filed under the name uncultured bacterium. RNAcentral describes it as "partial 16S ribosomal RNA". It matches the Rfam family "Bacterial small subunit ribosomal RNA", at positions 29 to 507 of the family's 1533-position model. The record is from RNAcentral.